This 31-nucleotide non-coding RNA is filed under the name Rattus norvegicus (Norway rat). The record is from RNAcentral. Lineage: Eukaryota; Metazoa; Chordata; Mammalia; Rodentia; Muridae.
UACUGUUCAUAUAAAGCCUCUUCAUCAAAGU